CCUACGGGCGGCUGCAGUGGGGAAUAUUGCACAAUGGGCGCAAGCCUGAUGCAGCCAUGCCGCGUGUGUGAAGGAGGCCUUCGGGUUGUAAAGCACUUUCAGCGGGGAGGAAGGCGGUGAGGUUAAUAACCUCAUCGAUUGACGUUACCCGCAGAAGAAGCACCGGCUAACUCCGUGCCAGCAGCCGCGGUAAUACGGAGGGUGCAAGCGUUAAUCGGAAUUACUGGGCGUAAAGCGCACGCAGGCGGUCUGUCAAGUCGGAUGUGAAAUCCCCGGGCUCAACCUGGGAACUGCAUUCGAAACUGGCAGGCUAGAGUCUUGUAGAGGGGGGUAGAAUUCCAGGUGUAGCGGUGAAAUGCGUAGAGAUCUGGAGGAAUACCGGUGGCGAAGGCGGCCCCCUGGACAAAGACUGACGCUCAGGUGCGAAAGCGUGGGGAGCAAACAGGAUUAGAUACCCGAGUAGUC
This 465-nucleotide ribosomal RNA is filed under the name uncultured Klebsiella sp. Its description in RNAcentral is "bacterial SSU rRNA". It matches the Rfam family "Bacterial small subunit ribosomal RNA", at positions 338 to 795 of the family's 1533-position model. The record is from RNAcentral. Lineage: Bacteria; Pseudomonadati; Pseudomonadota; Gammaproteobacteria; Enterobacterales; Enterobacteriaceae.